CGCCGCGGUAAAACCAGCUCUCAAGUGUCGGGAUAAUUAUUGGGCUUAAAGUGUCGUAGCCGGUUUAGUAAGUUCCUGGUAAAAUCGGGUAGCUUAACUAUCUGCAUGCUAGGAAUACUGCUAUACUAGAGGGCGGGAGAGGUCUGAGGUACUACAGGGGUAGGGGUGAAAUCUUAUAAUCCUUGUAGGACCACCAGCGGCGAAGGCGUCAGACUGGAACGCGCCUGACGGUGAGGGACGAAAGCCAGGGGAGCGAACCGGAUUAGAUACCCGGGUAGUCCUGGCCGUAAACGAUGCAUACUAGGUGAUGGUACGGCCAUGAGCCGUAUCAGUGCCAUAGGGAAACCGUUAAGUGUGCCGCCUGGGAAGUACGGUCGCAAGGCUAAAACUUAAAGGAAUUGGCGGGGGAGCACCACAAGGGGUGAAGCCUGCGGUUCAAUUGGACUCAACGCCGGGAAACUUACCAGGGGAGACAGCAGUAUGACGGUCAGGUUGACGACCUUACCCGACGAGCUGAGGGGAGGUGCAUGGCCGUCGCCAGUUCGUGCCGUGAGGUAUCCUGUUAAGUCAGGCAACGAACGAGAUCCGCACCUUUAUUUGCCAACAAGAAGUCACGACUUCGUUGGGAACACUAAAGGGACCGCCGUCGAUAAGACGGAGGAAGGAGCGGGCAAAGGCAGGUCAGUAUGCCCCGAAACCCCUGGGCUACACGCGGGCUGCAAUGGUAUGAACAAUGGGCUGUGACUCCGAAAGGAGAAACCAAUCCCGAAAUCAUAUCUCAGUUGGAAUUGUCGGCUGUAACCCGCCGACAUGAACGUGGAAUCCCUAGUAAUCGUGUGUCAUCAUCGCACGGUGAAUACGUCUCUGCUCCUUGCACACACCGCCCGUCGCUCCAUCCGAGUGUGCUAAAAAUGAGGUCUGGUCAGUCUGGUCAUAUCGAGUUUCUAGUAUGCGAGGAGGGAG
RNAcentral lists this ribosomal RNA (963 nucleotides) under uncultured archaeon. RNAcentral describes it as "bacterial SSU rRNA". It matches the Rfam family "Archaeal small subunit ribosomal RNA", at positions 463 to 1429 of the family's 1478-position model. The record is from RNAcentral.